GAUGAACGCUAGCGGCAGGCUUAACACAUGCAAGUCGAGGGGCAGCACAUCUUCGGAUGGUGGCGACCGGCGCACGGGUGAGUAACGCGUAUGCAAUCUACCUUUUACAGGGGCAUAGCCCGGGGAAACCCGGAUUAAUAUCCUAUAGUACCAUUAUAUAGCAUUAUAUUAUGGUUAAAGUUUCGGCGGUAAAAGAUGAGCAUGCGUCCUAUUAGCUUGAUGGUAAGGUAACGGCUUACCAUGGCUAUGAUAGGUAGGGGUCCUGAGAGGGAGACCCCCCACACUGGUACUGAGACACGGACCAGACUCCUACGGGAGGCAGCAGUGAGGAAUAUUGGACAAUGGGCGCAAGCCUGAUCCAGCCAUGCCGCGUGCAGGAAGACGGCCCUAUGGGUUGUAAACUGCUUUUAUACGGGAAGAAACACCCCUUCGUGAAGGGACUUGACGGUACCGUAUGAAUAAGGAUCGGCUAACUCCGUGCCAGCAGCCGCGGUAAUACGGAGGA
Molecule: ribosomal RNA, 505 nt
Filed under: uncultured bacterium
Lineage: Bacteria
Description: bacterial SSU rRNA
Rfam family: Bacterial small subunit ribosomal RNA
Source: RNAcentral